CGAUAUCGACUAGUUGACUCCUGGCUACAGAACGAACGCUGGCGGCGCGCCUAACACAUGCAAGUCGAACGAGAAUCCGGGGCAACCCGGUAGUAAAGUGGCAAACGGGUGAGGAAUACAUGGGUAACCUACCCUUGAGAAGGGAAUAACCCGCCGAAAGGUGAGCUAAUACCCUAUACGCUAUCUUUUUUCGAAAAGGAUAGGAAAGCCGGGUCGAGGACCUGGUACUCAAGGAGGGGCUCAUGUCCUAUCAGCUUGUUGGUGGGGUAACGGCCUACCAAGGCUACGACGGGUAGCUGGUCUGAGAGGAUGAUCAGCCACACUGGCACUGAGAUACGGGCCAGACUCCUACGGGAGGCAGCAGUGAGGAAUAUUGCGCAAUGGGCGAAAGCCUGACGCAGCGACGCCGCGUGGGGGAUGAAGGUUUUCGGAUUGUAAACCCCUUUCAUGAGGAAAGAUAAAGUGGGUAACCACUUAGACGGUACCUCAAGAAGAAGCCACGGCUAACUUCGUG
Molecule: ribosomal RNA, 514 nt
Filed under: uncultured bacterium
Lineage: Bacteria
Description: bacterial SSU rRNA
Rfam family: Bacterial small subunit ribosomal RNA
Source: RNAcentral